CACGUACAUGGAUGGAAGCGUUGGGCCUAUUGCUCUCACCCGCCACAGUUUUGACAUCCAAUCCAACACCUAAUCAUAAUAUACGAUCAGUUUUAGAUAUCCAAGUUGAUUCGUAGAACAAAUUAAGCACACAAUUGUGACAACCAAGGAAAACGGUGAAGAGGACCCAGUCCGCUUUUUCAAUAUUACAGAACUGAUUCAGCACCAUGUGAACGAAACCAGGAUACGCCCCAUGAUCAUGCACGUAAGAAGGCGUCUCCCAUGGCUCCAACGGCGGCAACCCUGGAACCAGAACCGGCGAACCCGACAGCGGAACCGGAAGAAUCCCCCGCUGGACAUGGUAAUAUAUGUUGUUGACGGCGCAAGAUUGAGUGAAAAACGCAACUCCGACCAGCCCAAAUUCCUUGGCCACAUCGAGAGCCCACGGCAAGAAUCCGUCGUAGAUCACGGCAUCAACCGGCUGGCCGACGUCGACGAGCUCCUUGAUGAGAGAGGCUAGAGUUCGCGACCCAACUUCCUCGAACUUGGCGAGGUAGGUCUCAGGGCUUUCGGCCUGGGCAUGUCCACCGUCGUCGUAGCCGUCGGAGAUGGUGGCGAGGGCGAUGGAGCAGGCGGCGUCGGCACCGUGCAUAGACUUGGAGAUGUAGACGGUGUUGGCGAAGGUGGGUUUGAUGCCUUUGGAGAGUAAGCGCUUGGAGAAUUGGAGCAUUGGAUUAAUGUGGCCUUGGGCAGGGAAGGGGAUAACGAGAACGUGAGCUUUGUAGCCUCUGGUUUGCUUCUCCAUUUCCGCUUGCUUGAAGUUCAGAGGCCGGCCGGACAGCUUGCUCUGUGCGGAAGAAUUUGUUAUGAGACGGCGUUAUGCGCAGAUAUUAAAUAAAUACUAUUAGGGUGUCUUUGAUGGAAAAGUCUUGAAAGCCCAGAAAACUGGCAGGGUUAUUGAAAUGGGACCAAAAAAAAAUGAAAUUGCCCUCUCC
Molecule: long non-coding RNA, 974 nt
Organism: Diospyros lotus (date-plum)
Lineage: Eukaryota; Viridiplantae; Streptophyta; Magnoliopsida; Ericales; Ebenaceae
Exons: 2
Source: RefSeq, a predicted model, not a curated record